RNAcentral lists this ribosomal RNA (388 nucleotides) under uncultured bacterium. Its description in RNAcentral is "bacterial SSU rRNA". It matches the Rfam family "Bacterial small subunit ribosomal RNA", at positions 917 to 1322 of the family's 1533-position model. The record is from RNAcentral.
GGGCCCGCACAAGCGGUGGAGCAUGUGGUUUAAUUCGAUGCAACGCGAAGAACCUUACCUACUCUUGACAUACUUGGAAGCAAUUUCGUAGAUGAAAACGCUGUUAAAGACCUAUUACAGGUGUUGCAUGGCUGUCGUCAGCUCGUGUCGUGAGAUGUAAGGUUAAGUCCAUAAACGAGCGCAACCCUUAUUACUAUAUUAUUUAACUAGUAAUACUGCCUAUGAUAAGUAGGAGGAAGGAGAGGAUGACGUCAAGUCCUCAUGGCCCUUAUGAGUGGGGCUACACAUGUGCUACAAUGGUGACUACAAAAUGAAGCAAAAUCGUGAGGUAGAGCAAAACACAAAAGGUCAUCUCAGUUCGGAUUGGUCUCUGCAACUCGAGACUAUG